Molecule: non-coding RNA, 1383 nt
Organism: Labrus bergylta (ballan wrasse)
Lineage: Eukaryota; Metazoa; Chordata; Actinopteri; Labriformes; Labridae
Source: RefSeq, a predicted model, not a curated record
GUUCAUUGUCGUUUGUCAGUUCUCAGUUUACUAGUGUCUCUUUGUGCUUCUCGUGGCUCCUUGUUUUUUCAUGUUGGAUUUUGAUAUCUCUCCUCCAGCCCGUCCUUUUGGUUCUCCAGAUCCUUCACUGAAUCCACGGACAGCUUCAGGUCUCCCUCCAGCUUCCGUUUGACUCGUUCCAGUUCCACCCGCAUCUUCUUCUCCUGACCCAACGAACUCUCCACCUGCAGGGAGGAAAGGAGGGAGACUGUGAGGAGCCAACCUCAUGAGACAGGGGCAUGCAAACAUCAUGGUUUAGCACAACACUUUGUGUUGGGUUUUACCUCAAUUUAUCUUAUUUGAGUAUUCUGAGUACUUUUAAAUCCUGAAGGACCUCCUGAUGGCCAUUAGAGGGGAUUGAAAGUUCUUUAGGGUGCUGUUAUGGUUUUUCAGGAGGUUUUAAUACUCAUAUUGGAUAACAAAAGUCUGGUUUUUGAUUUUUGAUCUCCUUUGGGUUUUUCUUGUUUUCCUUUUCUGUGGAUUGUCUUUGUAGUAGGCAGUGUUGUCAUACUCAAAACCAGGAUUAGGGCUGCCAGGCGAUAAAACAGAUAAAGAAAAAAUUUGACUGUUUGCGUUCACACUUGCAGCUCACCCAAAAACUUCUGGAGGUUUUAGGAGUUUUGUGUGAAAGCAAACUCUCAGAUGUGUCCUGCAGAGACCCUUGAGAUGAUUCUCUGGUCACUGAAGACACUUUCGAUGUUUCCUUGGAAACUUAAGUGGUCCUUUGAGGUAGCUGGACUUUAUGUUCAGUGACACAGGUCUGUGAGUCCUAAAGGGUUCUACUGGUCCUUUUAUUUCAGUGGUGUCUGAGAAGGUUCUAGAUCUAGUUAGUUGUAGGUCAGUAGGGAUCCUUAAAGAGGUUCAGUCGGUUCAUGCUGAUUGGCUACAGCUCUUGAGCUGGUUCAUGGUUCUACUUUUCUUGAAGGAAGUUUUAGUAGUCCUUUUGGGGUUUUAGUUGGACUUAAGAUAAAUUUUAGGUUAGGCUGUUUAUCAUCGAGUAGUCUUUGUGAAAUCGAGGAAAAUGACGAGGAGCCCUGAAACACCUUCUUAACAAACUGCAUUUAUGAUAUUCAACAAGAAGGACUUAGACAGACAGGCAGACAUGCUAAACUCAAAGACAGUCCUUCCAGUCUUACGUUGUCCACGUGCUGCUCCAGCCGAGUCUUGGCCUUGGCCAGCAUAUUGACUUUGUCGACCUGAGCCUGAAGAUCGUUCAGCGCCUGCUGAUGAGCUUCCUGCAGCGCACCUUUCUCUCUGGUAAGGGAGGCAAUAGAUUCAUCCAGAACACACAUCUCCUGAGACAAGUUCUUUACCUGAAUGGAAAGAAUAAAAUGUAUGACCUCA